Sodiomyces alkalinus F11 is the source of this 111-nucleotide non-coding RNA. The record is from the annotation of a RefSeq genome assembly. NCBI's taxonomy places the organism in Eukaryota, Fungi, Ascomycota, Sordariomycetes, Glomerellales, Plectosphaerellaceae.
GUCUCCGUGGCGCAGCGGUAGCGCAGUAGUCUCAUAUCAGCAAUGAAUAUGACCAAGUCGAAAAGAUUUGGAGACAUCUAAAGGUCGUGAGUUCGACCCUCACCGGGGACA